CGGUUGAUCCCGCCGGAGGCCAUUGCUAUCGGAGUCCGAUUUAGCCAUGCUAGUCGCACGGGUUUAGACCCGUGGCGAAUAGCUCAGUAACACGUGGCCAAACUACCCUGUGGACGAGCAUAACCUCGGGAAACUGAGGCUAAUUCUCGAUACAGCUCGCAUGCUGGAGUGCAGCGAGCUGGAAACGCUCCGGCGCCACAGGAUGUGGCUGCGGCCGAUUAGGUAGACGGUGGGGUAACGGCCCGCCGUGCCGAUAAUCGGUACGGGUUGUGAGAGCAAGAGCCCGGAGACGGUAUCUGAGACAAGAUACCGGGCCCUACGGGGCGCAGCAGGCGCGAAACCUUUACACUGCACGACAGUGCGAUAGGGGGACUCCGAGUGCGAGGGCAUACAGUCCUCGCUUUUCUGUACCGUAAGGUGGUACAGGAACAAGUGCUGGGCAAGACCGGUGCCAGCCGCCGCGGUAAUACCGGCAGCACGAGUGAUGGCCGAUUUUAUUGGGCCUAAAGCGUCCGUAGCUGGCCAGACAAGUCCGUUGGGAAAUCCACGUGCUCAACGCGUGGGCGUCCAGCGGAAACUAUCUGGCUUGGGGCCGGAAGACUCGAGGGGUACGUCCGGGGUAGGAGUGAAAUCCUGUAAUCCUGGACGGACCACCGGUGGCGAAAGCGCCUCGAGAAGACGGACCCGACAGUGAGGGACGAAAGCCAGGGUCUCGAACCGGAUUAGAUACCCGGGUAGUCCUGGCCGUAAACGAUGUCGCUAGGGGUGGGGCGCAGGCUACGAGCCUGCGCUGUGCCGUAGGGAAGCCGAGAAGCGGACCGCCUG
RNAcentral lists this ribosomal RNA (825 nucleotides) under uncultured haloarchaeon. Its description in RNAcentral is "bacterial SSU rRNA". It matches the Rfam family "Archaeal small subunit ribosomal RNA", at positions 5 to 830 of the family's 1478-position model. The record is from RNAcentral. Lineage: Archaea; Methanobacteriati; Methanobacteriota; Halobacteria; Halobacteriales; Halobacteriaceae.